UGAGGAAUAUUGGGCAAUGCCCGCAAGGGUGACCCAGCAACGCCGCGUGGAGGGUGAAUGUCGUAAGAUUGUAAACUCCUGUUAGAGGGGAAGAAUAGUACCGGUUGGACCGGUAUAUGACUGUACCCUCAGAGAAAGCCCCGGCUAACUACGUGCCAGCAGCCGCGGUAAUACGUAGGGGGCAAGCGUUGUCCGGAUUUACUGGGUGUAAAGGGCGCGCAGGCGGGAUAAAAAGUCAGUGGUGAAAUCCUACAGCUUAACUGUAGAACUGCCUUUGAUACUUUUAUUCUUGAGUUCGGAGAGAGAGACGGAAUUCCAGGUGUAGUGGUGAAAUACGUAGAUAUCUGGAAGAACACCGGUUGCGAAGGCGGUCUCUUGGUCCGACACUGACGCUGAGGCGCGAAAGCGUGGGGAGCAAACA
This 421-nucleotide ribosomal RNA is filed under the name uncultured bacterium. RNAcentral's name for it is "bacterial SSU rRNA". It matches the Rfam family "Bacterial small subunit ribosomal RNA", at positions 355 to 774 of the family's 1533-position model. The record is from RNAcentral.